This 274-nucleotide ribosomal RNA is filed under the name uncultured bacterium. Its description in RNAcentral is "partial 16S ribosomal RNA". It matches the Rfam family "Bacterial small subunit ribosomal RNA", at positions 523 to 796 of the family's 1533-position model. The record is from RNAcentral.
AUACGGAGGGUGCAAGCGUUACUCGGAAUCACUGGGCGUAAAGCGCGCGCAGGCGGGCUGAUAAGUUGGAUGUGGAAGCCUACGGCUCAACCGUAGAACUGCAUCCAAAACUGUCAAGCUAGAGUCUGGGAGGGGAAGAUGGAAUUAGUUGUGUAGGGGUAAAAUCCGUAGAGAUAACUAGGAAUACCAAAAGCGAAGGCGAUCUUCUGGAACAGUUCUGACGCUGAGGCGCGAAAGCGUGGGGAGCAAACAGGAUUAGAAACCCCAGUAGUCC